RNAcentral lists this ribosomal RNA (497 nucleotides) under uncultured bacterium. Its description in RNAcentral is "partial 16S ribosomal RNA". It matches the Rfam family "Bacterial small subunit ribosomal RNA", at positions 28 to 507 of the family's 1533-position model. The record is from RNAcentral.
GACGAACGCUGGCGGCGUGCCUAAUACAUGCAAGUUGAGCGCUGAAGGUUGGUACUUGUUCCAACUGGAUGAGCAGCGAACGGGUGAGUAACGCGUGGGGAAUCUGCCUUUGAGCGGGGGACAACAUUUGGAAACGAAUGCUAAUACCGCAUAAAAACUUUAAACACAAGUUUUAAGUUUGAAAGAUGCAAUUGCAUCACUCAAGGAUGAUCCCGCGUUGUAUUAGCUAGUUGGUGAGGUAAAGGCUCACCAAGGCGAUGAUACAUAGCCGACCUGAGAGGGUGAUCGGCCACAUUGGGACUGAGACACGGCCCAAACUCCUACGGGAGGCAGCAGUAGGGAAUCUUCGGCAAUGGACGAAAGUCUGACCGAGCAACGCCGCGUGAGUGAAGAAGGUUUUCGGAUCGUAAAACUCUGUUGGUAGAGAAGAACGUUGGUGAGAGUGGAAAGCUCAUCAAGUGACGGUAACUACCCAGAAAGGGACGGCUAACUACGUG